Molecule: RNA transcript, 1299 nt
Organism: Bombus pyrosoma
Lineage: Eukaryota; Metazoa; Arthropoda; Insecta; Hymenoptera; Apidae
Gene name: ciliogenesis and planar polarity effector 2-like
Exons: 5
Source: RefSeq, a predicted model, not a curated record
CGUAUGUACUCGAGAUUCGUAGGGUCCGCUGGUUGCAUGCGAAUUUGUGAGUUGUAGUUGUCACACUUGUAAAAUGUAUCAUUUUUUGGAGUUGGUGAAACGAAUAGAAAAGAAGUGAUAUUUUUAAAAAUUCUCACUGGUCAUUGAGAAUUAAAGUUAAAGGCAUUUACAGCACGAAAGAAAGUGGAUCUUCACCGUUCCAUUCUUUUAUUUUAUUUUUUUUUUUUUUUCGUUUUCCAAUAAUUUACGAGCAGCGAUUGACUUUUAAGAUAGAAUCAUCGCACGGUAACCUUAAUUUUAUAGAGAAUAUAGCGUCUUCGCUAUAGUUGCUUAUGUUUGUCGAAAAUUUAUCAGGCUUCCAUAUCUUCUGAUUUAUUAACAGCUAUAUAAUGACGGCAAUAAAUGUGAAUUGGUUGCAUUCUGUGGAGGGAGAGUCACUAAUGCAUCAUUUCUAUGUAAACACAUCAAAGAAAAGGAGAUUUUAUGGUAUUCUCGAAAGACCUCCCCUACCAUCUUCAAUCGAAGAAGUUACAUAUAAAAUUUUUAUGGUUGGGAGAUCUGGAGUAGGAAAAACUGCUGUUGUAGCUCGCCUUGCUGGAGUACUAGAGUCCAGUAAUUAUACCGAAACUAAUGGGAUAAAAAAGACGAAUGUAUUUUGGCCGGUUAAGAUAUGGGACAAAGUUGUGUUGUUUAAAUUACAGUUCUGGGAUACCUCGGAAACAAGCAUUAAAAAAUAUAAUCACAUAUUACCCGCUUGUAAAGACAAAGUAGAUGCUAUAUGUUCUGUAUUUUCUUUCGAUGAUGCAACAGGAUUCAAUGACGUUCCAUAUUUGAUGAAUACUAUGGCAGCUAUAAAAGAAAAACCAGCAAAUAUAGUGAUAGGGACAAAAUUUAAGCCAUGGUCGAGUUCUACAAUAGAAGACACGCGUAUAAAAGAAUUCGAAGACAAAUGGAAAGUUAAAGUUAUUAGAAUUGAUAUUAAUAAACCUUCUAUGAGAUCUGAAGUGUUUGAUUGUUCUUAUCAGUUGAAUACUAUAUGUAACAUUCUUUGGAAUAGGGAUAAAGAAUUUAUAUCGAAACAAAUGGGACAAAGCUAGCAAAUUUUUUAUUGGAUUUCUAUAAUACUCCGAAACAUUUUUUAUACGAGAUUUAAUAAAGGGUAAGAAAUAUUCUCAACAUCUCAACACAAUGUAUCUAGGAGUUCUAGGCGAGUAAAUGUUGUCAGUACUGAAAGCUAAAUUCACGAGCGUUACGCUUGUUUGUUACAAUUACUGGCGGCAAAGUUACCGAUAUACCGAU